ACGCCGACUGGGGAAUGGCUCGGUUCGGGUGCCGAAGAAGGUCGUGCCAAGCUGCGAUAUGCGUCGGGUAGGUGCAAGGAGCCUAUGAUCCGACGAUGACCUAAUGCGACUUCGUAAUCUUCGGAUUGUUCCGUAAGGAACGGGAACGCGGGGGAUCGAAACAUCCUAGUACCCGCAGGAAAAGAAAUCACUAGAGAUACCGUGAGUAAAGGCGAUCGAAAACGGUACAGGGCAAACCGAAUCCCCAUCAGUAAUGAUGGGGAAAUGUGGUGUUGUGGGCCCGGUUACAUCCUUAAGACCAACCAGAGAUCUGCUGGAACGCAGUACCAUAGAGGGUGAUAGUCCCGUAUGGACAAAUCGAGAGGAUGAGUUCCGGUGUCCCUGAGUAACGUGCGUUGGAUAUCGCGCGUGAAUUUGGGAAACAUUCAUUUCCAACCCUAAAUACACCCCGAGACCGAUAGUGCAGUAGUAGCGUGAGUGAAAGCUGAAAAGUACCCUUGACGGGAGGUUCAAAGAGCCUGAAACCAGUCGGCUAUAAAUUGUAAGGGCAUGAAAGGGAAACCAGUGUUCUUACGUCCGUUUCGAAAAACGGGCCAUGGAGUUCUGUUCAAUGGCGAGGCUAAGAGGAUCAUCCUCGGAGCCGCAGGGAAACCAACAAGUCCGCAACCGCAAGGUGAGGGACGAGGUGCGCUCGCCUGGAGUCAUUGGAGGGACACCCGAAGCCAGUUGAUCUAUACCUGGGCAGGUUGAAGCCUUUCGAAAGGAAGGUGGAGGACCGAACCGGUAAUGAUGUGCAAAUCUUUCGGAUAACCUGGGUAUAGGGAUGAAAGGUCAAUCAAAGCUGGAAAUAGCUGGUUCCUCCUGAAACUAAUCGCAGUUAGAUCUCGGCGGAGGUAGAUCGUGUGGUAGAGCACUGAUCGGGGGCUUAGGGGGAGAAAUCCCUCGGCCCCCUGUCAAACUCCGAACAUGCGGUCACCGUAGAGGCCGGGAGUGAGGGCAUCCGGGGUAAGCUUGAUGUCCAUCAGGGAACGUAACCCAGCCAAUAAUUAAGGUCCCCAAGUUUCGGUUAAGUGUAACAAUAAAGGGAGUCUGUAGUCCAAGACAACUGGGAGGUGAGCUUAGAAGCAGCCACCCUUUAAAGAAAGCGUAACAGCUCACCAGUCGAGAUUAUAGGCCCCGAAAAUGGACGGGGCUAAGCCGAACACCGAUAUUAUUGAGCACCGCAAGGUGAUCUGGUAAGGAGGUGACAGGCGUGGGUAGAAGCUAGGCCGUGAGGUCUGGUGGACCGCGUUUGUAUAAGGAUCAUGGCAGGAGUAGCAGCAAAGAAUGGUGAGAAUCCAUUCCGCCGUAGGGGCCAGGGUUCCUCGGCAAUGUUCGUCAGCCGAGGGUUAGCCGAUCCUAAACUACCACUUAAUCGGAAGUAGUGAAAGGGAAACAGGUUAAUAUUCCUGUGCCGCGUCAGAAUUUGCGUCAUUCUUGACACAUCGGGAUAAGUGGAAUAAUCUUGUCUGGUUAUUCAAGUGUAUAAACUGAGGAAGAACCGUAAUGGUGUGAACUCGGUGAAAGCACGAGCAGGGGGACGAAAGUCCCCUUCCGUCGAUUCCUGGUGUCCGUGAAAAUCGAGUGACUUACACCUGACGCGUUCGUACCAAGAACCGACACAGGUGCCCCUAGAUGAAAAGUCUAAGGCGUGUCGGCCUAAUCGAUGCGAGGGAACUCGGCAAAUUAGCCCCGUAACUUCGGGAUAAGGGGUGCCAGCCGCGAGAGUGGCUGGUCGCAGUGGCAAGGGAACUCCGACUGUUUAAUAAAAACACAGAUCGCUGCAAGUCCGAAAGGAUGUGUAUAGCGGUUGAAGCCUGCCCAGUGACGGUAUCUGAAACUCGGGUCCAACCGAACGAAGGACCGUUAAACGGCGGGGGUAACUAUGACCCUCUUAAGGUAGCGUAAUACCUUGUCGCUUAAUUGGCGACUUGCAUGAAGGCCCAACGAGAGUUCUACUGUCCCCGCAUCGAAGCCGGUGAAACUAACAGUACUGGUGCACAGUCCAGUAUCUUCCACCUGAAAGCGAAGACCCCAUGGAGCUUUACUGCAACCUGUUGUUGUGAUAUGAAUUUUGAUGUGUAGGGUAGGCGGGAGACGUUACCCAGGAAUUGCCGCUAGGUAAUCUCCGAGUCGACGAUGAAACACCGCCCUUCAGACUUCGUACCACUAACUUCGUUAGAAAGACACCAAUAGGUAGGCAGUUUGGGUGGGGCGCCACGCGCUCAAAAAGAUAACAAGCGCGCCCAAUGGUCAGCUCAGGCAGGUCAGAAAUCUGCCGGUGAAUGUAAGGGUAAAAGCUGGCUUGACGCGGAUCCGGACAACAAGGAUCGGCGAUACGAAAGUAGGGCCUAGCGAACCAAUCAACCUUCUGAAUGGGGGUGAUUGAUGACAGAAAAGUUACCCUGGGGAUAAUUGAGUUGUCGCCAGCAAGAGUUCAUAUCGACCUGGCGGCUUGCUACUUCGCUGUCGGCUCUCCCUAUCCUGGCGGUGCAGCAGCUGCCAAGGGUGGGGUUGUUCGCCCAUUAAAAGGGAUCGUGAGCUGGGUUUAGACCGUCGUGAGACAGGUUUGUUGCUUUUUGGUGGAAGUGUAUUGAUGCCUGACGAGAAGGACCCUUGAGUACGAGAGGAACGGGGGUUCGGUGCCUCUAGUCAAUCAGUUGUCCGACAGGGCAUGCUGAGCAGCCACGCACUACUGGAUAAGAGCUGAAAGCAUCUAAGCUCGAAGCCACCUUGAAAAAGAGGCAUCUUAGGACGCUCAUAGUUGA
Molecule: ribosomal RNA, 2807 nt
Filed under: activated sludge metagenome
Description: bacterial LSU rRNA
Rfam family: Archaeal large subunit ribosomal RNA
Source: RNAcentral